RNAcentral lists this ribosomal RNA (485 nucleotides) under Papuadytes sp. MB267. RNAcentral's name for it is "partial 16S ribosomal RNA". The stretch from base 362 to 485 matches the Rfam family "Bacterial large subunit ribosomal RNA", at positions 2473 to 2597 of the family's 2925-position model. Lineage: Eukaryota; Metazoa; Arthropoda; Insecta; Coleoptera; Dytiscidae. The record is from RNAcentral.
ACCUGCCCACUGAAAUAUUUUAAAUGGCCGCAGUAAUUUGACUGUGCAAAGGUAGCAUAAUCAUUAGUUUUUUAAUUAAAAGCUUGUAUGAAGGGUUGGACGAAAUAAAAUCUGUCUUUAUUUAAAUAAUAUUAGAAUUUAAUUUUUAAGUUAAAAAGCUUAAAUUUAUAUAAAAGACGAGAAGACCCUAUAGAUCUUUAUAUUAUUAUAAAAUAAUUUUAAUUAAGAAUAUUUAAUUUUUUAUUUUAUUUAGUAUUUUAUUGGGGUAAUAAAAAAAUUAAUUAAAUUUUUUUUUUUAUUUUACAUAAAUUAAUGAAUUUAUGAUCCAUAUUUUUUGAUUAUAAGAUUAAGUUACCUUAGGGAUAACAGCGUAAUUUUUUUAAAGAGUUCAUAUCGAUAAAAAAGUUUGCGACCUCGAUGUUGGAUUAAAAAUUGUUUUAGGCGUAGAAGUUUAAAAAUUUGGUCUGUUCGACCAUUAAAUUUUU